RNAcentral lists this transfer RNA (76 nucleotides) under Clostridia bacterium. RNAcentral describes it as "tRNA-Ala". It matches the Rfam family "tRNA". From Rfam's summary of the family: Transfer RNA (tRNA) molecules are approximately 80 nucleotides in length. Lineage: Bacteria; Bacillati; Bacillota; Clostridia. The record is from RNAcentral.
GGGGGUGUAGCACAGAUGGGAGUGCGCACGGUUCGCAUCCGUGAGGUCAGCGGUUCGAUCCCGCUCAUCUCCACCA